Molecule: long non-coding RNA, 1163 nt
Organism: Brassica napus (rape)
Lineage: Eukaryota; Viridiplantae; Streptophyta; Magnoliopsida; Brassicales; Brassicaceae
Exons: 2
Source: RefSeq, a predicted model, not a curated record
CGCUCGGUCGCUACGUAGCGACCGAGCGGAACGGAUGCUCGGUCGCUACGUAGCGACCAAGCGGAACAGACGCUCGGUCACUACGUAGCGACCGGGCUACGUCACCACCACCAUCGCUUCUCAGAUCCGUCUUCACCGGAGUCGCCACCACCACCGCCACGCUCGUCAUAACCACCAUUGGUCACUUCUCUGUCUCUCAUUCUCUCUGUGUUUUUUUUUGUUAUUAUAUGGUUUGAUUUGAAGUUAAAGUUCGUUUCUUUAAUUAUGUGUGCUGCAGAAGUCCAAGAGGAAUGAGUAUGCCAAAACUAUCUCCCAACGUUUGCAACGUAUUGUUUUAGCUUGUCUGAUUUGUUUUCUAUCAUUCUGUAAUUUUCAUGUGUUUGUUCGCUACAUGCUCGUAAGAGACCAAGGUUCUGAUUUGAAAGAAUCAAUCUGCCUCGUACGUUGUGUUCUUGCCCUUCCUCUUCAAUCCUUCAGGUUUCGAGUGGCAGAAGAUUGUUGAUGAUUAGACUGAUCGGAACAGCUCACGAUUAUCUAGCAAUACGUACUUGUUUAUCAUCUCACGACUACAGAGAAGACUAAACUUUCUGACUGUUUUGGUCAGGUUGAUAAAGGAGCUAAUAUUCUUGAAAUUUAUCGCAAUCAUUGUGAUACUGAUCACACUUGCUCGCAUGACUGCUGCUACUUGCUCUUUUUGGUUUUUUGCUGGAUAAAUUGAAAGACUUGCGUUUAGCAUCUGAUCACUCUUCUUUGUGUGUGUUUCUGCAAGUAAAAAUGGUUAAGGGCUUUGUAUGUACUUUUCAUUCUGAUGGGGGUUAUUUGGGAUUUAAAGUUUUUGACAUUCUCAGAGUUUCCAUAAAUUUGCUGCAGGUAACAUUUUCCCUUUAUGAGUCUGUGCAAUAAGCUUGACGACAGAGGUGGAAAGGCGGCGAGGUGGAUGGGACGAGGUUGCUGUGAUGGAUGGGGCGGAGAGGCGUCGGAUCUGAAGAAGCUAUGUUGUGGAGAUGGCAGAGGAAGCUAGCGGUGGUAGUGGUGGCGGCACUAAAAGAUAAGAGCACUAGAAGAUAGGAGAUGAAUUUUAGGUUUAGUUAAAAAUUUGGUUUAGUUUAAUAACACAUUCAUAAAUAUGUAAACAAUUUCAAUAUAUAAAAUUUAAUUUAAUU